UGGGGGAGAGGGAAGUCUACCUCUGCUGCUAUAUCAGACUCCCACUACCACAACUAUUUCCUCCCAUUGGAGGAAUCUCAGAAUUGUAGAGUUGGAAAGGACCUCAGGGGACAUUGAAUUUAGCCCCCUGCAAUAUGGGCAGGUAGCCAUUCAACAUCUUUUUAAAAACCUCGAAUGAAAGAAGAAGAGAGUCGGUUCCACAGUCAAACAUCUUUUACCACCAUAAAGAUCUUCCAGAUCUCCUUUCUUGAAUCCAUUGCUUUGGGUCCUGCUCUCUGGAGCAUCCCUUAAGUUACUUAUAUUUCCAAUCGCAGCAACCAAAAUGUUCAGUAAUAUAGCGGAGAUCCCUAAUUCUCCUCUCUUGCGCUGCACAUAAUAAAGGCCUUUUUGUUUCAUUCUCCUUGCUAUUUCUAGUUCAGUGAUUAGUUUUUCUAUCAGCCAUACAUUGAUUUUUUUACACCAUGUGAUCAAUGGCACACCCUGUAAGAAUUCCCAGAAUCUAGCAAUUAGUAGCCUAUUGCAAGCAAUCUUAUUAAAGCAAUGUUAAGCAAUCUCUGUCACCUCCAAAAAGCAAAAAAAUAAGGAGAGGAGGGACGGAGAAAAAGAGGGACAUGAUUGACUUCCUUUAGUAAUGUUCUUCUUUGAAAUGUUUGAGAUAAUUGGUUAACUUCGCUGCGUUAAAUGUGCCUUCUGCAGUUGACA
Podarcis raffonei (Aeolian wall lizard) is the source of this 702-nucleotide long non-coding RNA. RefSeq lists it as uncharacterized. The record is from RefSeq and is a predicted model, not a curated record. NCBI's taxonomy places the organism in Eukaryota, Metazoa, Chordata, Lepidosauria, Squamata, Lacertidae. The transcript is spliced from 2 exons.